Molecule: long non-coding RNA, 1391 nt
Filed under: Papio anubis (olive baboon)
Lineage: Eukaryota; Metazoa; Chordata; Mammalia; Primates; Cercopithecidae
Description: lncRNA (ENSPANG00000038518.1)
Source: RNAcentral
UAAUACUAAGUGUCAAUUUGAUUGGAUUGAGGGACACCAUGUAUUAAUCCCGGAUGUGUCUUUGUGGGUAUAGCCAAAAGAGAUUAACAUUUGAGUCAAGGGAAGGCAAAUUCACCCUUAAUCUGGUGGGCACAAUCUAAUCAGCUUCCAGCAAAUAUAAAGCAGGCAGAAAAACGUGAAAAAAGGAAGAUGGGCCUAGCCUCUCAGCCCACAUCUUUCUCCUAUGCUGGAUGCUUCCUUCCCUUGAACAUCAGACUCUGGGUUCUUCAGUUUGGGAACUCAGACUGGCUCUCAGCUUGCAGACAGCCUAUUGUGGAACCUUGUGAUCAUGAUCUAUUUGGAGGUACUAAGAAAAAUAAGACAUCAGUCUGAAAAUAGCUCCUAUCAAAACAACAUAAAUUCUGCUAAAAGGGAAGCAAGAAGAAACAUCAAAUUUAUAGUGAAGCUUGGGUGGUAGAAUGAUGAAAUCAUUGAUGCUCUAUGAAAAGUUUAUAGGGACAAUGGCCCCAAAGAAAUCAGCAAUUUACAAAUGGAUAACUCUUUUUAAGAAGGGACUAGAUAAAUGUUGAAAACAAAGCCUGAAGCAGCAGACCAUCCAUGUUAAUUUGCAAGGAAAAAAUUAAUCUUGUUCAUUCCCUAAAUAAAGAGGACUGAUAAUUGACAGCAAAAACAAUAGCCAACACCAUAGCCAACUCAAUGGUUCAACUUACACAAUUCUGACUGAAAAGUUAAAGUUGAGCAUUUCCACUCAAUAGGCACAAAAACUUACGUGUCCAGAUCAGCUGCAGACAAGAGCAGAGCUUUCAGUGGAAAUCUCAAACAAGUAGGAAUGAGAUCCUAAAGCAUUUCUUCGAAAAGUUGCAACAGAAGGUGAAACAUGGCUUUACCAGUACCAUCCUGAAGACAAAGCACAAUCAAAGCAAUGGCUACCAAGAGGGGCAAGUGGUCCAGUCAAAGUAAAAGCAGACUGGUCAAGAGCAAAGGUCAUGGCAACAGUUUUUUGGAAUGCUCAAGGCGUUUUUCUUGUUGACUUUCUGGAAGGCCAAAGAAUGACGACAUCUGCUUAUUAUGAGAGUGUUUUGAGAAAGUUAGCCAAUGCUUUAGCAGAAAAAUGCCCAGGAAAGAUUCACUAGAGAGCCCUUCCCCACCAUGACAAUGCUCCUGCUCAUUUCUCUCAUCAAACAAAGGCAAUCUUAAGUUCCUAUGGGAAAUCAUUAGGCAUCCACCUUACCAUCCUGCUUUGGCUCCUUCUGACUUGCUUUUGUUUCCUAAUCUUAAAAGAUAUAUAAAGGGCACUCAUUUUUCUUCAAUUAAUAAUGUGAAAAAGAUUACAUCAGCAUGGUUAAAUUCUCUGGACCCUCAGUUCUUUAAGGAUAGACAAAAUGACUGGU